RNAcentral lists this ribosomal RNA (253 nucleotides) under uncultured bacterium. RNAcentral's name for it is "partial 16S ribosomal RNA". It matches the Rfam family "Bacterial small subunit ribosomal RNA", at positions 524 to 776 of the family's 1533-position model. The record is from RNAcentral.
UACGGGGGGGGCAAGCGUUGUUCGGAAUUACUGGGCGUAAAGGGUUUGUAGGUGGCUUGUUAAGUCAGACGUGAAAUCCCUCAGCUUAACUGGGGAACUGCGUCUGAUACUGGCGAGCUUGAGUGCAGGAGAGGAACGCGGAAUUCCCGGUGUAGCGGUGAAAUGCGUAGAGAUCGGGAGGAACACCAGAGGCGAAGGCGGCUAGCUGGACAGUAACUGACACUCAACUGCGAAAGCGUGGGGAGCAAACAGG